AACAUCAUCAGCCAUAUUUCGGCAUAGUUCUCCCUCAAGGAGAGAUGCCACAGUGGGUCAUUCCUAUUGAAGAGGAUUCUAUAUCUCUCAUGGUUCCAAAAGACUUAUAUGACAAGAUUCUUGGAUUGGCAUUUUGUGUUGUUCUUGAUAAUAUAAAAACCUCAGUUGAGAUUUUAGUACAUGUCGAUGGUGUAAAGCAGGAGAGUAUAAGGGAAGAUUUCCCCUAUCCAUUGCAUUCGGAACAUAUCUGCCUUCGCUAUGUCACACCACUUAACUUAUGGGGAGUAGUUGAUUUUGGUCAAAUUGAUGGGAAAUAUGCAAAGUUUAGCCUUACCAAAUCGAGAAAAGCGAAAAGGUGGGGACUUCGAAUAAUAUGCAAGCAAUUAGGGGACGAUUUAAAGGUCGAGCUUCAAGAUAAUCAGCUGAUAAAUCCAGCUUUACUCUACGAAGUUGGUCAUGAAUCAAUAGACUCACCAAAGGGGGAGUUCAUUUAUGCACGAAGAUAAUUCGAGUGGAGCAAAUCGACAGGAGGACUUGCAAGAUGGUCAAAUGAGUAUCGAGGAACAUAGUCAUAUAGGAUCAAAGAGAAUUCGCACUCAAGGCAUGCGAACCAAGACUUUGCUGACUUCCAAUUUGACCAGCAGAAACGAGAAUGGUGGUGUUGGCUUGCAGCUAUUGUUGUUAGAAUGAUGGGAACUUGCAGAGGAAGCAAUUGGUAGAUAGAGAGGAGCUCGACUUACUGCUACUUCUUGACUUAAUAUCGAGAAAACGAGUUCGAAGGUUGGGGCCGGAGAGUUAGAUGAGGGGAGGGGGGCUUGGGAUGUGCAUUUUGAUGCUGUUAGAAGAAACAAUUUUGGAAGAGAAAGAUACAACUUCCAUGGAAUAUAGAGGACGAAGGCACAUUAUAGAAGAGAGACGCACCCACGAGCACUCUCCAAUCAUGGAGCAAUCCUGAUCGCUAGCCCUUCCCUUCGCUUUAUUAUUAUUGUAAAUAAACUCAAACACGUGUUUCAUAACAACCUUGAGGACAUAGCUAUUUCCGCUAUGUCAUUUUUUUUUUCUUGAAAACUGACCUUUUGAGAAUUAUAAACAUUGAUUUUUUUGGCGAAAUGAAAUAAAAAGAGCGUAUCGAAAUCGAUUUUAAUCUUUCUCAACGAUUAACCUGCCCUCUUGAACCUUUUUUUUUUCUUCUUUUCCUUUGAUUUUCCCGUUGUUGUAAAACUUCCGACUCCGCCAACGCCUCAUCUUCCAUCCCCCACACCAGCGAUCUCCGACGAAAUGGAAGAAGAAUAAGAUGUUCGUCUUCCUGAAACGGAGUCCCUAUUGAACUUGACGGCGACGGAGACCGGCCGGCGGAGGCGACGGACUACCACCAUCGACCGAAGCCGUGGAAACUGAUGACGAUUCUCCCCUGAGGUGCGUUCUGGGCUUCGUGCAGCUUGCUAUAGAUCAGGAUGUGUCAGUUGAAUUUGUUCGAGAGACGCUGAAUCGGUGUGUCUUCGUAAGUUUUGUCUCUGAAUGUUUGGUAGUGAAUUCACAGGUUAUCGACGUUACGCGCUGCAAAAUCAGCGACGAUCUCUGGAAGGUGUGGCUUUUCUUUCUUUGUUUCCAUAGGUGGCAAUUUAUUGAAAGAAGUAGGUGAAGUCUAGGUUCCAAGGAAAAACAAGUGAGGAAAGAACGAAAUAAUGGGGUGUAGGGGUGUACAUGGGUUGGUUCAAUCCCCUUUUCAGGCGAAAAACUGAGCCAAUCUGGGUGCUGUGGGUUGGGCCAAUGGAUAACUGGUUAGGUAGUUAUUUUCUUUCGCCUUGUAGACUGUGGAUAUGAAAAAGAAAUAAUCACCAGAAACAAGGAGUUUACAUGAGCUAUUCAGUAGAAUAGAGACAAAAGCACAAGUAGCUGAUUGUUGAUUCUGAAUUCUGAGGCCUUCGCAACUGUUUAAGAUUCUCUUUUUAUUCUUAUGUUGCCGUAGCUUUUAUGAAGGAAAAUGACCGAGAAGCUAAAACUCCUGGAUGCUUCUUGAAUGUUUGAGUGAAACCUGAUUAAUGUAGUUUCUCAAUUAGUUGUUGUUUUUGUUUUAUUGUUGUCUGAGCCAUAUCAGUUUGAGUGUUAGGUGGGAUUUGCAUCUGAAUUACAGGAUGAGUAUGUAUUCGUAAUCAUCACUUGGAAGUUUGGGACCAGUAUAUAACGCAGGACCUGCAAAAUUUUGAUCUUAUAGCUACGAGAUAUGGAUUCAUUUCAUUAGUAGCUGCAUGUUGAUACUGAAAUAUUUCUACUGCUGGCAACUUGAUGUUCAUUUUCCCUUGAAUUGCCUGUAUGCAAGUAUAAGAGAAAUUCUGACUCUAAUACCCAUAUUUUUUUCCCCUAACAAGUAACAAGACCUAUUUGCAUUUUUAAUAUAAGGCAAAGCUUGCUUUGGACAGCCUCAAUGUUCCAUUUGGCUGUGUGAUUGGUGAGAAACCGUGCCUUAUUGUAGCAGGAAGAAAUAGGACUAAUGAGAAACAUAAUGCAACAAGAUGUGCAGAAAUGGAAGCUCUUGAUGUUCUUCUUGAACAGUGGCAGAGUAUUGGGAUUUUGUCUGCAGAAGUUGCAGAGAAGUAUUCAGCGUGCUCCCUUUAUGUGACCUGAACUAUGCAUAAUGUGUGCAGCAGCAUCAUCAAUCAUUGGUAUGAAGGAAGUGUAUUAUGACUCUGCAAAUGAUAAAUGUGGAGGCUGCAGCUCAAUACUGUUGUUGCAUCAAGCAACUCCAAGGAAUGAAUUAGUAAUGGAAAUUCUGGAUCGAAGGGUUUCCACUGUUGUGGAGGUAUGAUGGCAUCAGAAGCAAUUUCUCAUCUGCAAGAUUUUUAUGAACAAGGAAACCCUAAUGCUGAAAAGUCUCUCAAGUCACGGGUUACUCAGGCUUCUCAUUAGAUCUGUGUGGAUUGAUUCUUCCUGUUGAAUCUUCUUAUGGCUUUGCACGACUAGAAUUUCAUCAGGGACCUGUGGAAGGAAGCGUGAUACUUGUCCAUAUCAGUUUGUUCCAGGAUGUUCAUGUUUUUACAGAAGGUUGCAGUUGUGAUUGGAAGUCCAUUUCAUGCUUUAACUUGAUUAUAAGAUUGUUAAGAUAAGUUACGGCAUCAACUGUGUAGGCAUCACUUUUCUGGUGCUAAUUUUUGUCAUCGAUGUAUUCUGUAAUCUGGCUUAUCUUUUUAUGACUCUUUUGAACUUUGAGUUAUUCGAGGUGUGCUAUUGAUGUCUUUGAGCUCCAGAGUUCCGGACCAAAUCAUGUGUCAUGCCUAAUGACUAUAAAGAGGACAAUGAUUUGCAUGUGUUUCAUGUAGAUUCCCUGGCAAAGAAUUGGAAUUGGUGGAUUUAA
Molecule: long non-coding RNA, 3352 nt
Organism: Eucalyptus grandis
Lineage: Eukaryota; Viridiplantae; Streptophyta; Magnoliopsida; Myrtales; Myrtaceae
Exons: 10
Source: RefSeq, a predicted model, not a curated record